This is a ribosomal RNA of Chlorocebus sabaeus (green monkey), 99 nucleotides long. Lineage: Eukaryota; Metazoa; Chordata; Mammalia; Primates; Cercopithecidae. The record is from Ensembl.
AUCUACGGCCAUACCACCCUGAUCUCAGAGGCUAAGCAGGAUUGGGUCAGGUCAGUACGCAGAUAGGAGACCUGCAGGGAAUCCUGCGGGCAGUAGGUU